This is a long non-coding RNA of Malaclemys terrapin pileata, 483 nucleotides long. RefSeq lists it as uncharacterized. The transcript has 3 exons. NCBI's taxonomy places the organism in Eukaryota, Metazoa, Chordata, Testudines, Emydidae. The record is from RefSeq and is a predicted model, not a curated record.
CAGAAGCCUCCUUAUUCGCUUUGUUUCUCUCCCUGAGAAGCAUCAUUAUCACCCCGAGAGAGAGAUGUGCACUCAGCCAUGGCCACAAGCAAGGCUAUAGCUCCUGGAGUCGUGUUACGAGGUGGCUACCCUCCAGCCGGAUUGGGGAUGGGACCGAAUCUGCCCACGCUCCAGCGUGACUCCCAGCAGCUGCUGGGACAAUGAAAGCUCUGACCAACUGCAAAGGGCACAGCUGCAUCACAGAGCACGCACACUUGUCUACUGCUUUCAAACUGGGCAUUUAAGGGCUACUCUAGGAAGGCAAACAGCAACAGAGAGCAGGCAUUUUGAUCAUUAAGGGUGAGGGCUUUUUGAGGCUCCCUACGAUCUUAAAUCUCUAUUAAGAAACCAGUGUACACUUUCAUUAGUAAUAUACAAAUACAGUGACUACUUUGUGUACAGGGUCUACGGCUCACAGGACAAAUCUUCCAUUUUGGGGCUAGA